RNAcentral lists this ribosomal RNA (433 nucleotides) under uncultured bacterium. RNAcentral's name for it is "partial 16S ribosomal RNA". It matches the Rfam family "Bacterial small subunit ribosomal RNA", at positions 29 to 507 of the family's 1533-position model. The record is from RNAcentral.
AACGAACGCUGGCGGCAUGCCUAACACAUGCAAGUCGAACGAGACCUCCGGGUCUAGUGGCGCAUGGGUGCGUAACGCGUGGGAACCUGCCCUUAGGUUCGGAAUAACUCCCCGAAAGGGGUGCUAAUACCGGAUAAUGUCUUCGGACCAAAGAUUUAUCGCCUUUGGAUGGGCCCGCGUUGGAUUAGCUUGUUGGUAGGGUAAAAGCCUACCAAGGCGACGAUCCAUAGCUGGGCUGAGAGGAUGAUCAGCCACACUGGGACUGAGACACGGCCCAGACUCCUACGGGAGGCAGGAGUGCGGAAUAUUGGAAAAUGGGCGAAGGCAUGAUCCAGCAAUGCCGCGUGAGUGAUGAAGGUCGUAGAGUAGUAAAGCUCUUUUACCCGGGAUGAUAAUGACAGUACCGGGAGAAUAAGCUCCGGCUAACUCCGUG